UACGUAGGGUGCAAGCGUUGUCCGGAAUUAUUGGGCGUAAAGAGCUCGUAGGCGGUCUGUCGCGUCUGCUGUGAAAACUCAGGGCUUAACCCUGAGCUUGCAGUGGGUACGGGCAGACUAGAGUGCGGUAGGGGAGACUGGAAUUCCUGGUGUAGCGGUGAAAUGCGCAGAUAUCAGGAGGAACACCGGUGGCGAAGGCGGAUCUCUGGGCCUUACCUGACGCUGAGGCGCGAAAGCUAGGGGAGCGAACAGG
RNAcentral lists this ribosomal RNA (253 nucleotides) under uncultured bacterium. RNAcentral describes it as "partial 16S ribosomal RNA". It matches the Rfam family "Bacterial small subunit ribosomal RNA", at positions 524 to 776 of the family's 1533-position model. The record is from RNAcentral.